UUAGCUUCAGUCAUUAUGUAUUGAACAGAAGCAAAAGCAUCAUCUCCUUCAUCUUCAGUUUGGAUCAAUUACUCAAGAACAAAAAGCAUAAUCUUGAUGAACAACAUUAAGAUGGGUAAAGUAUUGCGAGUUUGCUACUGUUUCUCAUGACAAGACAAUUAAACUAUGGUCUAGCAAAAAUGCUGAAAAGGAUAAGGCAAUGGAUGU
This 207-nucleotide long non-coding RNA is filed under the name Helianthus annuus (common sunflower). RNAcentral describes it as "sRNA HanXRQr2_Chr17g0826481". Lineage: Eukaryota; Viridiplantae; Streptophyta; Magnoliopsida; Asterales; Asteraceae. The record is from RNAcentral.